Molecule: non-coding RNA, 120 nt
Organism: Myotis brandtii (Brandt's bat)
Lineage: Eukaryota; Metazoa; Chordata; Mammalia; Chiroptera; Vespertilionidae
Source: Rfam
CCUUCUCCCCUCUUUCCCAGAGAGUGGGUGAGAAUAUGAUAUGCAUUUCUUUCAAAACAAGGGAACCUCCUUUCGCCCCCUCCGCAGGAGUCGCCUCCGCGCUUUAUUUCAAGUCGACGG